AGAUUAAACAUAAGAGUUUGAUCCUGGCUCAGAUUGAACGCUGGCGGCAUGCUUUACACAUGCAAGUCGAACGGCAGCACGGAGAGCUUGCUCUCUGGUGGCGAGUGGCGAACGGGUGAGUAAUGCAUCGGAACGUACCGAGUAAUGGGGGAUAACUGUCCGAAAGGAUGGCUAAUACCGCAUACGCCCUGAGGGGGAAAGCGGGGGAUCUUAGUGACCUCGCGUUAUUUGAGCGGCCGAUGUUGGAUUAGCUGGUUGGUGGGGUAAAGGCCUACCAAGGCGACGAUCCAUAGCGGGUCUGAGAGGAUGAUCCGCCACAUUGGGACUGAGACACGGCCCAAACUCCUACGGGAGGCAGCAGUGGGGAAUUUUGGACAAUGGGGGGAACCCUGAUCCAGCCAUGCCGCGUGUCUGAAGAAGGCCUUCGGGUUGUAAAGGACUUUUGUUAGGGAAGAAAAGCCGGGUGUUAAUACCACCUGGUGCUGACGGUACCUAAAGAAUAAGCACCGGCUAACUACGUGCCAGCAGCCGCGGUAAUACGUAGGGUGCGAGCGUUAAUCGGAAUUACUGGGCGUAAAGCGAGCGCAGACGGUUAAUUAAGUCAGAUGUGAAAUCCCCGAGCUCAACUUGGGACGUGCAUUUGAAACUGGUUAACUAGAGUGUGUCAGAGGGAGGUAGAAUUCCACGUGUAGCAGUGAAAUGCGUAGAGAUGUGGAGGAAUACCGAUGGCGAAGGCAGCCUCCUGGGAUAACACUGACGUUCAUGCUCGAAAGCGUGGGUAGCAAACAGGAUUAGAUACCCUGGUAGUCCACGCCCUAAACGAUGACAAUUAGCUGUUGGGACACUAGAUGUCUUAGUAGCGAAGCUAACGCGUGAAAUUGUCCGCCUGGGGAGUACGGUCGCAAGAUUAAAACUCAAAGGAAUUGACGGGGACCCGCACAAGCGGUGGAUGAUGUGGAUUAAUUCGAUGCAACGCGAAGAACCUUACCUGGUCUUGACAUGUACGGAAUCUCUUAGAGAUAGGAGAGUGCCUUCGGGAACCGUAACACAGGUGCUGCAUGGCUGUCGUCAGCUCGUGUCGUGAGAUGUUGGGUUAAGUCCCGCAACGAGCGCAACCCUUGUCAUUAGUUGCCAUCAUUAAGUUGGGCACUCUAAUGAGACUGCCGGUGACAAACCGGAGGAAGGUGGGGAUGACGUCAAGUCCUCAUGGCCCUUAUGACCAGGGCUUCACACGUCAUACAAUGGUCGGUACAGAGGGUAGCGAAGCCGCGAGGUGAAGCCAAUCUCAGAAAGCCGAUCGUAGUCCGGAUUGCACUCUGCAACUCGAGUGCAUGAAGUCGGAAUCGCUAGUAAUCGCAGGUCAGCAUACUGCGGUGAAUACGUUCCCGGGUCUUGUACACACCGCCCGUCACACCAUGGGAGUGGGGGAUACCAGAAUUGGGUAGACUAACCGCAAGGAGGUCGCUUAACACGGUAUGCUUCAUGACUGGGGUGAAGUCGUAACAAGGUAGCCGUAGGGGAACCUGCGGCUGGAUCACCUCCUUUCUA
RNAcentral lists this ribosomal RNA (1548 nucleotides) under Snodgrassella alvi. RNAcentral describes it as "bacterial SSU rRNA". It matches the Rfam family "Bacterial small subunit ribosomal RNA". Lineage: Bacteria; Pseudomonadati; Pseudomonadota; Betaproteobacteria; Neisseriales; Neisseriaceae. The record is from RNAcentral.